CUUUUUUUUGCACUGCUCUCUCCUUUGGCUGUGAUAGGAUCCUCCCCCGGUGCAGACAAGCGGUGGCACUGUCCCUCGGGGGUGCUCGUCCCGUUCUUGCUUGCUGGGACACGGCUCUGCUCCAGCGCCUUUCCCUGACCCUGCUCACCUGGGUGCACCUGUCCUGGGUUCGUCAUCUCGCUCUGCUCAUCGCCUCUGGGGGCUGGCUGACGUCAGGGAACGAUGGCCGGGACCGCCCGCUCGGGCGCUGCUUCGCCUUCCGCGGCCCCGGAGCGCGGCCAGCGCAGCCUGGGCUGUUCGCGCCGCUGCUGAUCCCGAUCCCACUGCUGCAGAUCCUGAUCCCACUGGUCCCGAUCCCGCUGCUGCAGAUCCCGAUCCUACUGCUGCCGAUCCUGCUGCUGCUGUAGCUCCGUGUGGCGUGCGGCCGCGGUCUCUCGCCCGGAACAGGCAACACCAAAUUAUCCAGCCUGGCCACGGCCGAGGGAAUGCGGCAAGCAGCCGCCGAGGUCACCGCAGCGAGGCUGAGCACGGACACCAAGGAAUAACAAACCAAACCUGCUGGGGAUUUGCAAUGCAAGCAACCUUUCCAGGUUUCUUUUCCGCAUUGCUCCCAGCCUGCUGUUGGAUUUGAGAUCAUGUCGGUUAACAUUGUAGCUUUUGGGAAUGAACGAGAUGGUUUUUCCGAGGACAAUCAGCAGCCCGGCCUGAUCUGGAGUUAUCUCAGGAGAAGUGCGCUCAUUUCCCAGAUCGACAGCAGCCUGUCCGCCAGUCACGUUGGAAACCCAGUUUUUACUGAGUAUCAAGCCUGCGUAUUUGGAAAUGUCAGACUGGUGGUACACGACUGUCCUGUCUGGGAUUUAUUUGACAGUGACUGGUAUACUUCCUGCAGGCUCAUUGGAGGAGCUGAUAUUAUUUUGAUUAAAUACUCUGUCAAUGAUAAGACUUCAUUUCAAGAACUAAAGGACAGCUAUGUGCCAAUGGUAAAAAAAGCAUUAAAUCACUGCUCAAUUCCAGUAAUAAUUUCUGCUAUUGGUGCAAGAAAAAACGGAGUGCCUUGCACCUGUCCCCUGUGCACUUCAGACAGGAGGAGCUGUGUCACAACCGCUGAAGGAGUUCAGCUUGCAAAGGAACUUGGAGCCACUUACCUUGAACUGCACACUCUUAAUGACUUCUACAUACAGAAAUACUUUGGAGGAGUGCUGGAAUAUUUUAUGAUCCAAAGUUUGAACCAGAAGUCAUCUGAAAAAAUGAAGAAAAGGAAAAAGAUGCAGAAGUGCCAUCGAGUACAACCACCUCAGCUUGAACAGCCAGAAAAGAUGCCAAUCCUGAAGGGUGAAGCCUCUCAUUACAAUGCAGACCUGCACAACCUGCUCUGCUGCUGCCAGUGCGCAGACGUGGCCUUCUACCCUGAGGACCUCAGCACAGCUGUGGAGGCUCACAAGAUCAUCCUCUGCUCUGUCAGCCACCUCUUCAUGCUGCUGUUUGGGGUGAAGAGCCCGUCCAACGCCCAUGACGCCUCCACCCUGCAGCUGGCACAGAGCCUCUUUGCAGUGGAGACAGGGGAUCCCUUCCCCUCCUCCCCCCGUGGUGUCCCACCCUGUGUCCCUCCAGUCAGGGUGGUGGUGAAGGAUUCUGUCUUCUGCUCUUGUCUCCCAGACAUCCUCCACUUCAUUUAUUCAGGUGCUUUCCAGUGGGAACGAUUAGAAGAGGACAUAAAAAAGAAGUUGAAGGAUCCAGAUAAAACAGAACAUGUGCUUGAGAAAGUUAAAUGCAUCCUGAAAACUCCAGGGAAGCUAAACACUGUAAAGGACUGCAAGUCUCAUCAGAUAAAACAGCUCUAUAAUACUUCCCUCAGGCUGUUCUUUAACACACCUGUGCUGGCUGAUGUAAUCUUCAAAAUACAAGGUACAACUGUACCAGCCCACAGGGCAGUUCUGGUGGCCCGCUGUGAGGUUAUGGCAGCUAUGUUUAAUGGUAAUUAUCUAGAAGCAAAUAGCAUUCUGGUUCCAGUGUAUGGGGUCUCCAAAGACACUUUCCUGUCCUUCCUGGAGUACCUUUAUACUGACUCCUGCUGCCCAGCCAGUAUUCUCCAAGCGAUGUCUCUGCUGAUCUGUGCAGAGAUGUACCAAGUAAUGAGACUCCAGCAUAUUUGUGAACUUUACAUCAUCACGCAGCUUCAGAGCAUGCCUAGCAGGGAACUGGCUUCCACAAGCCUCAGUAUUGUUAGCUUGCUCAAAAAAGCUAAGUUUCACAAUUCUGAUUGCCUUUCAACUUGGCUUCUUCAUUUUAUUGCCACUAACUACCUCAUCUUCAGUCAAAAGCCUGAAUUUCAAGAACUUUCAGGUUCAGGACAGCAGCACAGCAGCAGGGAGUGUCUCUCCAAGGGCUUUUCAAGACCUAUGUCCUACACAGAAUCGCAGAAUCUGCUGAGAUGGAAGAACGCACAAGGAUCACUGAGUGCAACUCCUGCCCCUUCACGGCACCGUCCCCAAGAGUCACACCAUGAGAGCGUUGUCCAAAAGCUUCAUGAACCUGUCGGGCUGGUGCUGUGACCACUGCCCUGGGGAGCCUGUUCCAAUGCCCAAACACACUGGGGCAAGAACCUUUUUCUAAUCCAGCCUAAACCUCCCUGGCACAACUUCAGGCCUUUGAUCCUGUAACUGGUCACCACUGAGAAAAGAUCAGUGUCUGCCCCUCCUUUUCCCCUCUGGCCCUCUUCUUCCCCUCAAAAGGAAGUUGCAGACCGCAGUGAGGUCUCCCUCAGUCUCCUCCAGGCUGAACAGACCAAGUGCACCGCUUCCCCUCAAGGCCCUUUAUUUUUCUCCUUUGACACUCUCUAAUGGUUUAAUUUGAUUCUUAUAAUGUAGAGCCCAAAUCUGCCCCAGGACUUGACGUGGUGCCAUCCUAGCGGACAGCAGAGCAGGACAAUCCCCUCUUUUGCUUGGCUGGCCAUGCUGUCCCACCACAACAGAGAUGUCCUUCCUGGCUGCCAGGGCACUGCUGACUCAUGUUCCACUUGCCAUUGACCAAGAGCCCCAGGUCCCUUUCCAGGGCACUGCUCUCCAAUAUCUCAUUCCUCAGUCUGUCCAUACAUCCAGGGUUACUCCAUCCCAGGCUCAGAGUCCUGCACUUUCCCUUUUUGAACUUCCUAUGACUGGUGAUCACCCAGUCUUCUAAUUCACUGAGGGGGCCUCCCUGCCUCUGACGGAGUCAACAGCUCCUCCCAGAUUUGUACCAUCUGCAAACUUGCUCAGUGUCCUUUCCAGUCCUUCAUCCAAGUCAUCUACAAAGAUGUUGAAGAACACAGGGCCAAGGAUGGAGGCCUUUGGAUCCCUGCUAGUGACAGGUCCUAUGUCUGAUGUCACCCCAGCCACUGUAGCCCUUUGUGCUUGACCUGUGAGCCAGUUGCUCACCCUUCACAUGAUGUGUUUGUCGAGCUGAGAUAUACAUCUUGUCAAGAAGAAUCCUGUGAGAAACAGUAUCAAAAGCUUCACUGUCAGCCAAGAACAUUACAUCAACUGGCUUCCCUUGAUCAACUCGUGGAAGAACGCAAUUUUGUAGAGAUGCACCGAUGGCCUUCAAACUUGUACCUGAAGCAACUUGCUGAUUACAGGAACUAUAUCCACU
RNA transcript from Catharus ustulatus (Swainson's thrush), 3627 nucleotides. It is a transcript of the gene named Rho related BTB domain containing 3, with no coding region annotated. Lineage: Eukaryota; Metazoa; Chordata; Aves; Passeriformes; Turdidae. The transcript has 13 exons. The record is from RefSeq and is a predicted model, not a curated record.